UACGGGGGGUGCAAGCGUUGUUCGGAUUUACUGGGCGUAAAGGGCGCGUAGGCGGUCACCGCAUGUCGGUUUUGAAAUCUCCGGGCUUAACCCGGAAAGGUCAACCGAUACUGCGGGGCUAGAGUGCAGAAGGGGCAACUGGAAUUCUCGGUGUAGCGGUGAAAUGCGUAGAUAUCGUAAGGAAGACCAGUGGCGAAGGCGGGUCUCUGGACAGUUCCUGACGCUGAGGCACGAAGGUCAGGGGAGCAAACGGG
Molecule: ribosomal RNA, 254 nt
Filed under: uncultured bacterium
Lineage: Bacteria
Description: partial 16S ribosomal RNA
Rfam family: Bacterial small subunit ribosomal RNA
Source: RNAcentral